This 253-nucleotide ribosomal RNA is filed under the name uncultured bacterium. Its description in RNAcentral is "partial 16S ribosomal RNA". It matches the Rfam family "Bacterial small subunit ribosomal RNA", at positions 524 to 776 of the family's 1533-position model. The record is from RNAcentral.
UACGGAGGGUGCAAGCGUUGUCCGGAAUCACUGGGCGUAAAGGGCGCGUAGGCGGCUCAUGAAGGCUGUUGUGAAAGUCCGGGGCUCAACCUCGGAUCGGCCGUGGCGACUCGUGGGCUGGAGCGCUGUAGAGGCGGGUGGAAUUCCGGGUGUAGCGGUGGAAUGCGUAGAGAUCCGGAAGAACACCAGUGGCGAAGGCGGCCCGCUGGGCAGUGGCUGACGCUGAGGCGCGACAGCGUGGGGAGCAAACAGG